Molecule: long non-coding RNA, 986 nt
Organism: Capsicum annuum
Lineage: Eukaryota; Viridiplantae; Streptophyta; Magnoliopsida; Solanales; Solanaceae
Exons: 2
Source: RefSeq, a predicted model, not a curated record
GCUGUUGAUUAAGUUCUCUUUGCUGUUGAUUUUUCCCUUUCUCCUCUUUCAUAGUAUGUUCAUAGUAGUAAAACUAACUCUUAUAUAUAAGUGUGAUCAAGUAGCAAGUGAAAGCUGGUAGGUGGAGGUUGUCCUACCAGCUUGCCAAGGGUUAGUUUGGUCAUUACCUUUAUAUAAGGUCAAACAGUUCAUUUCGUAUUUGAGUUGGUACAGGUGUAGUCUCAGAGUUAUGGUAAUACAACAGUUGUCCGUUGAGAUUGUACGUGUAACUCCACAAAUUACUCUUACAACAGCUUAAGCUUUGGUUUUGUCUCACUAAAGAACCCAAAAUUCAUUCUCACACCUAUGAUAAUCUUCCGAUUUUCCUCAAAUUUUCAAUCAAAAGAGUGUAAGUUCUCUUUGUUGUUGAUUUUUCCCCUUCUCCUCUUUCAUAGUAUGUUCAUAGUAGUAAAACUAAUAGAAAACUCCAUUGGUGUGCUACUUGGAAUUCUAAUUUUAUCGUCUCUGUGAGUUCGUAGUUGUGUGCUUAAUUACCUGGACUCUAACAACAGUAUACAAGAUCAGUACAGCUUCAGAUCUUGCCUCACUAGCUCAACAUCAGCAUACAAGAUAAAAGAUUUUCAAAAACGAAAAGACCCAGCGAAUACCAUAAUGGAUCAGAGGUUUCUUGUGGACUCCAUCACAAAAGAAACUACAGACUGAACAAGGUUCAGGUAGUUGACAAGUUUCGCCCUUGCAAGAGCAAAGACUCAUCUGUCCAUUCUCACACAAUUCUUGUGCAAGAUAAAAGAGUAAUUUUCUCUUCAUAUCAACUCCCUAAAUACUCAGGUUGAUACUGUAAACGUUAGCUGCAACAAUGUUUUACAACCUGUAAAAUGUCUGCUAUAAAGAAAUGAAUGUGUACCUCACAACAAUGUCUGUUUUUUCUUGUAUACCAAGCUUGGGGAUAAUUUCUAUCAAAUAUUAUAGAAGGAUGUAUAGGUGCA